CAUGGAGGGUGAGAAUCCCGUUCGGUUGACCCUAUGACGUUUUACGAUACGCUUUCAAAGAGUCGAGUUGUUUGGGAUUGCAGCUCAAAAUGGGAGGUAAAUUUCUCCUAAGGCUAAAUAUUGGCGAGAGACCGAUAGCGAACAAGUACCGUGAGGGAAAGAUGAAAAGAACUUUGAAAAGAGAGUAAAAUAGUACGUGAAAUUGUUGAAAGGGAAACGAUUGAAGUCAGUCGUACCGACGAGAAAUCAGCUCUUCGAGUGUGGACUUGUGGGCGUGCUUGAGUCUUUAACGGGCCUUGCCGUUUGCAAUGUUUGUGCUUUUUGGGUGUUCUUUUUCGUAUGGUUGGCCAACGUCAGUUUCGAUCAUCAUAAAAUGAUCAGGGGAAUGUAGCUUCGAUCUCGUAUUGAAGUGUUAUAGCCUUUGGUAGAUGUGGUAAUUGAAACUGAGGAUUGCAACGAAUACCCUCUGGGCUAUCCGUCUGGCCUCUGAAAGUUGCCUAGGUUGCCGAAAGCUUGCUUACGGUUGUCUAAGGUGGCGGUCAAAAGGUUAGAACGUAAUUACAUUCGUUAAGGAUGUUGACGUAAUGG
RNAcentral lists this ribosomal RNA (588 nucleotides) under uncultured Glomeromycotina. RNAcentral's name for it is "LSU rRNA". It matches the Rfam family "Eukaryotic large subunit ribosomal RNA", at positions 204 to 637 of the family's 3401-position model. Lineage: Eukaryota; Fungi; Glomeromycota. The record is from RNAcentral.